AGAGUUUGAUCCUGGCUCAGGAUGAACGCUGGCGGCGUGCUUAACACAUGCAAGUCGAACGAACCUUCGGGUUAGUGGCGGACGGGUGAGUAACGCGUGGGAACCUGCCCUCAGGAGGGGGAUAACGGUUGGAAACGGCCGCUAAUACCCCAUAUGCCGAGAGGUGAAACGAAUUUCGCCUGAGGAUGGGCCCGCGUCUGAUUAGCUAGUUGGUGGGGUAAGAGCCUACCAAGGCGACGAUCAGUAGCUGGUCUGAGAGGAUGAUCAGCCACACUGGGACUGAGACACGGCCCAGACUCCUACGGGAGGCAGCAGUGGGGAAUUUUCCGCAAUGGGCGAAAGCCUGACGGAGCAACGCCGCGUGAGGGAUGAAGGCCUCUGGGCUGUAAACCUCUUUUCUCAAGGAAGAAGACCUGACGGUACUUGAGGAAUAAGCCACGGCUAAUUCCGUGCCAGCAGCCGCGGUAAUACGGGAGUGGCAAGCGUUAUCCGGAAUUAUUGGGCGUAAAGCGUCCGCAGGUGGCCCUGUAAGUCUGUCGUUAAAGCGUGGAGCUUAACUCCAUUUAAGCGAUGGAAACUACAGGGCUAGAGUGUGGUAGGGGCAGAGGGAAUUCCCGGUGUAGCGUUGAAAUGCGUAGAUAUCGGGAAGAACACCAGUGGCGAAGGCGCUCUGCUGGGCCGUCACUGACACUCAUGGACGAAAGCCAGGGGAGCGAAAGGGAUUAGAUACCCCUGUAGUCCUGGCCGUAAACGAUGAACACUAGGUGUCGGGGGAAUCGACCCCCUCGGUGUCGUAGCCAACGCGUUAAGUGUUCCGCCUGGGGAGUACGCACGCAAGUGUGAAACUCAAAGGAAUUGACGGGGGCCCGCACAAGCGGUGGAGUAUGUGGUUUAAUUCGAUGCAACGCGAAGAACCUUACCAGGGUUUGACAUCCUGCGAAUCCCUUGGAAACGAGGGAGUGCCUUCGGGAGCGCAGAGACAGGUGGUGCAUGGCUAUCGUCAGCUCGUGUCGUGAGAUGUUGGGUUAAGUCCCGCAACGAGCGCGACCCACGUCGUUAGUUGCCAGCAUUCAGUUGGGCACUCUAGCGAGACCGCCGGUGAUAAACCGGAGGAAGGUGUGGAUGACGUCAAGUCAUCAUGCCCCUUACAUCCUGGGCUACACACGUACUACAAUGCUACGGACAAAGGGCAGCGAUCCCGCGAGGGCUAGCAAAUCCCAUAAACCGUGGCUCAGUUCAGAUCGUAGGCUGCAACUCGCCUACGUGAAGGAGGAAUCGCUAGUAAUCGCAGGUCAGCAUACUGCGGUGAAUACGUUCCCGGGCCUUGUACACACCGCCCGUCACACCAUGGAAGUUGGCCACGCCCGAAGUCGUUACUCCAACCCUUGUGGAGGAGGACGCCGAAGGUGGGGCUGAUGACUGGGGUGAAGUCGGAACAAGGUA
RNAcentral lists this ribosomal RNA (1443 nucleotides) under metagenome. RNAcentral's name for it is "bacterial SSU rRNA". It matches the Rfam family "Bacterial small subunit ribosomal RNA". The record is from RNAcentral.